Molecule: ribosomal RNA, 496 nt
Filed under: uncultured bacterium
Lineage: Bacteria
Description: partial 16S ribosomal RNA
Rfam family: Bacterial small subunit ribosomal RNA
Source: RNAcentral
GAUGAACGCUGGCGGCGUGCCUAAUACAUGCAAGUCGAGCGAACAGACGAGGAGCUUGCUCCUCUGACGUUAGCGGCGGACGGGUGAGUAACACGUGGAUAACCUACCUAUAAGACUGGGAUAACUUUGGGAAACCGGAGCUAAUACCGGAUAAUAUAUUGAACCGCAUGGUUCAAUAGUGAAGGACGGUUUUGCUGUCACUUAUAGAUGGAUCCGCGCCGCAUUAGCUAGUUGGUAAGGUAACGGCUUACCAAGGCAACGAUGCGUAGCCGACCUGAGAGGGUGAUCGGCCACACUGGAACUGAGACACGGUCCAGACACCUACGGGAGGCAGCAGUAGGGAAUCUUCCGCAAUGGGCGAAAGCUUGACGGAGCAACGCCGCGUGAGUGAUGAAGGGCUUCGGAUCGUAAAACUCUGUUAUUAGGGAAGAACAAAUGUGUAAGUAACUAUGCACGUCUGGACGGUACCUAAUCAGAAAGCCACGGCUAACUACGU